UGUUACUGUACGUACAAUAUAUUAUAUUAUUGUCUUUUCUCGUUUUUGUCGAAUAAAACACCAUUCAGUAAAACCCGGCGGCUUACCGGUCGGAAUUCAAUUAUUAUUGUUAUCGUACAGUUUAAAACGACAAACACUCGAUUAAACUACAGAACGAUCAAAUAUAUUGUACACACCCGAGUCCGCGCCGCGACGUGAUAAAUAACGUAUACCGUUUUACAGGUCGGUUGCGGGUCCUAGCGGAGAGGGUUGUUCGCAAAGAAAAGCAAUACAAUUUCACGGAGAGAGCAGGCUAUAAAAUGUGUUCAGGGACGAUUGACGACCCACCGCGGAUGAACCACGAGUCACGACGCGGAAAAACUCCGUCCAAGUCGAACAUCGGAGCUUCGUUGUAAUAUAAUAUUAUGCGCCGGAUAUUAUUAUAAUUUACGGUACACUGGAAGGCGGGAGGAUGUUUUAAUUUUGUUGGUGUUCGAACGACGGUCGUCGCCACCGCGGCGCCUGCGAACGCAUCCACGUACACCAUCGAAUCUCAUAUAAAUAUCGACAGGUGAUAUAUGCAGCCUAUAACGAAAAAAGUAAUGGGUAAAUCUGAGGCCCCUAAUAAAUUCUAACGAUUGAGGCCCGGGAGCCAUGGCCCCCCUGGACCCCCCAAUCCAAGCUUGGUUGGACCAUGUAUUAUUCACUGUUUUCCAUGGCUAGGGUAUGCAAUCAUAAACAAUGACGUGGGAUUAUUCGAGUGCACUAUUAAAAACGUCGACGUUUAUAUUAUAAAGUUAUAUAAGUUAUGUAUACAAAAUAUGAUUAUAACUAUAGAUACACGAAACCACAAAAAAUACUAAAUAUCUAGAGACAAAGCAACGUUAUACUACCUUUUAUUUCUACCUCAUGUAUAUAAAUGUGUUAUACAUAUUAUAAAUGUGUUUUGUAUUCAGUAAAACGUUCUUUUGAAUUAUACACGAUGACUAUAUGAGACAGAAAUAUAAUACGCAAAUGCAAGAAACCUAAUUAAAUUGUAGGUAGGUACGUAAAUCUAAUAUACAUAUAUAUUGUAUUUUUUUGUUUUACGUUAUAAACGUCUCAGGGUUGUAAAUAUUUUCAACGUUUUGAUGAACUCUAGGGGAUACUUUAUAGUUUAUAUACCCAUAUAAAUUCCUAUUUUUUUAAAUUACCGCCACAACAGUGCUGGACUCGUUUGAGUGAUUUUAUAUUUUCCUUUCAACUCAUGGUUUUAUUGCGACAACAUAUUUUAUAAACAUACCUAUAUAUUAAAUAUUAUUUUCCCUUUUAUUUCAUAUUUUCAUUUUAACAAUUGUUACAAUAAUACCCGUACCUAAAUAUUUUGUUUUGUGAUACAUAAACAAUAAUAUGUAUAAUAGCUUUAGUAAAUUACAACCAAAAUCGAAAACCGAACUGGAAAACAUGCCUUUUAAAGAGCACAUUACAUCUCUCAUAUACUUAUAUUAUAUAAAAAAAAUUUCAGUAGUAAGUUUGAUGUAAGUACUUGUUCAAAUAAAAAAAUAAAAAACUGAUUUGUAUGUAAAUAUUAAUAAUCAGUGUAUCUAUAACGUGUGAAAAAAUUGUUUUUUUCAGUCACUAACGUCAAACUGUAACGAGAAAAAGUUUUUAUGCGUAUAGUUAUUAUAUUUUGUUAAUUAACUGA
Metopolophium dirhodum (rose-grain aphid) is the source of this 1663-nucleotide long non-coding RNA. RefSeq lists it as uncharacterized. The transcript has 3 exons. Lineage: Eukaryota; Metazoa; Arthropoda; Insecta; Hemiptera; Aphididae. The record is from RefSeq and is a predicted model, not a curated record.